GAGUUUGAUCUUGGCUCAGAUUGAACGCUGGCGGCAUGCCUUACACAUGACAAGUCGAGCGGCAGCGCGGGGGCAACCCUGGCGGCGAGCGGCGGACGGCAGAGUAACACGUAGGAACGUACCCCAAAGUGAGGGAUAGCCCGCCGAAAGGCGGAUUAAUACCGCAUGUGAUCCACGGAUUAAAGCCUUGUGCGCUUUGGGAACGGCCUGCGUAAGAUUAGCUUGUUGGUAAGGUAACGGCUUACCAAGGCGACGAUCUUUAGCUGGUCUGAGAGGAUGAUCAGCCUGACUGGAACUGAGACACGGUCCAGACUCCUACGGGAGGCAGCAGUAGGGAAUUUUCCACAAUGGGGGCAACCCUGAUGGAGCAACGCCGCGUGCAGGAUGAAGGCCUUC
Molecule: ribosomal RNA, 396 nt
Filed under: uncultured bacterium
Lineage: Bacteria
Description: bacterial SSU rRNA
Rfam family: Bacterial small subunit ribosomal RNA
Source: RNAcentral